Molecule: non-coding RNA, 106 nt
Filed under: Nocardia brasiliensis
Lineage: Bacteria; Bacillati; Actinomycetota; Actinomycetes; Mycobacteriales; Nocardiaceae
Source: RNAcentral
GCGCGGGGUAGCAUCCCAAGGCUCGGCGGGUGACGAGGAAACCGGUGCAAAUCCGGUGCGGUCGCGCCACUGUGAAAGCCAGACCCUCUGGGCUUGCCCACUCCGC